This 250-nucleotide ribosomal RNA is filed under the name uncultured Solibacillus sp. Its description in RNAcentral is "partial 16S ribosomal RNA". It matches the Rfam family "Bacterial small subunit ribosomal RNA", at positions 524 to 773 of the family's 1533-position model. Lineage: Bacteria; Bacillati; Bacillota; Bacilli; Caryophanales; Caryophanaceae. The record is from RNAcentral.
UACGUAGGUGGCAGGCGUUGUCCGGAAUUAUUGGGCGUAAAGCGCGCGCAGGUGGUUCCUUAAGUCUGAUGUGAAAGCCCCCGGCUCAACCGGGGAGGGUCAUUGGAAACUGAGGAACUUGAGUGCAGAAGAGGAUAGUGGAAUUCCAAGUGUAGCGGUGAAAUGCGUAGAGAUUUGGAGGAACACCAGUGGCGAAGGCGACUGUCUGGUCUGUAACUGACACUGAGGCGCGAAAGCGUGGGGAGCAAAC